UGGCGGACGGGUGAGAAAUACAUCGGAAUCUACUCUGUCGUGGGGGAUAACGUAGGGAAACUUACGCUAAUACCGCAUACGACCUACGGGUGAAAGCAGGGGACCUUCGGGCCUUGCGCGAUUGAAUGAGCCGAUGUCGGAUUAGCUAGUUGGCGGGGUAAAGGCCCACCAAGCCGACGAUCCAUAGCUGGUUUGAGAGGAUGAUCAGCCACACUGGGACUGAGACACGGCCCAGACUCCUACGGGAGGCAGCAGUGGGGAAUCUUAGACAAUGGGGGCAACCCUGAUCUAGCCAUGCCGCGUGAGUGAUGAAGGCCCUAGGGUUGUAAAGCUCUUUCAGCUGGGAAGAUAAUGACGGUACCAGCAGAAGAAGCCCCGGCUAACUCCGUGCCAGCAGCCGCGGUAAUA
RNAcentral lists this ribosomal RNA (408 nucleotides) under uncultured Alphaproteobacteria bacterium. RNAcentral's name for it is "bacterial SSU rRNA". It matches the Rfam family "Bacterial small subunit ribosomal RNA", at positions 96 to 525 of the family's 1533-position model. Lineage: Bacteria; Pseudomonadati; Pseudomonadota; Alphaproteobacteria. The record is from RNAcentral.